This is a non-coding RNA of Caenorhabditis elegans, 21 nucleotides long. The record is from Ensembl. Lineage: Eukaryota; Metazoa; Nematoda; Chromadorea; Rhabditida; Rhabditidae.
UAGUUCGUUUGUAUGUGUUGU